RNAcentral lists this ribosomal RNA (253 nucleotides) under uncultured bacterium. Its description in RNAcentral is "partial 16S ribosomal RNA". It matches the Rfam family "Bacterial small subunit ribosomal RNA", at positions 524 to 776 of the family's 1533-position model. The record is from RNAcentral.
UACGUAGGGUGCGAGCGUUGUCCGGAAUUACUGGGCGUAAAGAGCUCGUAGGUGGUUUGUCGCGUUGUUCGUGAAAACUCACAGCUCAACUGUGGGCGUGCGGGCGAUACGGGCAGACUGGAGUACUGCAGGGGAGACUGGAAUUCCUGGUGUAGCGGUGGAAUGCGCAGAUAUCAGGAGGAACACCGGUGGCGAAGGCGGGACUCUGGGCCGAUACUGACGCUGAGGAGCGAAAGCGUGGGGAGCAAACAGG